This 506-nucleotide ribosomal RNA is filed under the name uncultured bacterium. RNAcentral describes it as "partial 16S ribosomal RNA". It matches the Rfam family "Bacterial small subunit ribosomal RNA", at positions 29 to 523 of the family's 1533-position model. The record is from RNAcentral.
AGUGAACGCUGGCGGUAGGCCUAACACAUGCAAGUCGAACGGCAGCACAGGAGAGCUUGCUCUCUGGGUGGCGAGUGGCGGACGGGUGAGGAAUACAUCGGAAUCUACUCUGUCGUGGGGGAUAACGUAGGGAAACUUACGCUAAUACCGCAUACGACCUACGGGUGAAAGCAGGGGACCUUCGGGCCUUGCGCGAUUGAAUGAGCCGAUGUCGGAGUAGCUAGUUGGCGGGGUAAAGGCCCACCAAGGCGACGAUCCGUAGCUGGUCUGAGAGGAUGAUCAGCCACACUGGAACUGAGACACGGUCCAGACUCCUACGGGAGGCAGCAGUGGGGAAUAUUGGACAAUGGGCGCAAGCCUGAUCCAGCCAUACCGCGAGGGUGAAGAAGGCCUUCGGGUUGUAAAGCCCUUUUGUUGGGAAAGAAAUCCAGCUGGCUAAUACCCGGUUGGGAUGACGGUACCCAAAGAAUAAGCACCGGCUAACUUCGUGCCAGCAGCCGCCGUAA